This 654-nucleotide ribosomal RNA is filed under the name uncultured bacterium. RNAcentral describes it as "bacterial SSU rRNA". It matches the Rfam family "Bacterial small subunit ribosomal RNA", at positions 217 to 848 of the family's 1533-position model. The record is from RNAcentral.
GCCUUUAAAGGGCCCUCCUUUGGUUUAUGUACUUGCCGGAGUUACGGCUCCCUCAAAGGGGAGAAUCCAUUACCGGUUUUGGAUAGGUGGAGCGUUUCCGUUGGAGGUCCGCCACGCCCCAAAUUCUUCCGGGAGCCCAGCUCUGGGGAUUGUUACCCAAGGGAAGUAAGUUUGACGGGGCAACGCCGCAUCAAGACAAACGGCCUUCGGGUUGUAAAGUUCUGUUAUACGGGACGUAUGGUGUUAGCGGUUCAAUACCCGUUACGAGUGACGGUACCGUAAGAGAAAGCCACGACUAAUUACGUGCCAGCAGCCGCGCGUAAUACGUAGGUGGGCAAGGCUUCGUCGGGAAUUAUUGGGUGUAAAGGGCGAGCAGGCGGCGUCGUAAGUAGGUCUUAAAAGUGCAGGGCUUAACCCCGUGAGGGGACCGAAACUGCGAUGCUAGAGUAUCGGAGAGGAAAGCGGAAUUCGUAGUGUAGCGGUGAAAUGCGUAGAUAUUAGGAGGAACACCAGUGGCGAAAGGCGACUUUCUGGAUCGACAACAUGACGCUGAGCGCGCGAAAGCCAGGGGAGCAAACGGGAUCAGAUACCCCCCUAGUCCUCUCUCUAACCGUUGAAUACUAGGUGUAGGGGGUAUCGACCCACUCUGUGCCG